RNAcentral lists this ribosomal RNA (159 nucleotides) under Dirinaria confluens. Its description in RNAcentral is "5.8S ribosomal RNA". It matches the Rfam family "5.8S ribosomal RNA". Rfam says of the family: 5.8S ribosomal RNA (5.8S rRNA) is a component of the large subunit of the eukaryotic ribosome. The record is from RNAcentral. Lineage: Eukaryota; Fungi; Ascomycota; Lecanoromycetes; Caliciales; Caliciaceae. RNAcentral also lists the same sequence under 2 other names.
AAAACUUUCAACAACGGAUCUCUUGGUUCCGGCAUCGAUGAAGAACGCAGCGAAAUGCGAUACGUAAUGUGAAUUGCAGAAUUCAGUGAAUCAUCGAGUCUUUGAACGCACAUUGCGCCCCCUGGUAUUCCGGGGGGCAUGCCUGUCCGAGCGUCAUUG